RNAcentral lists this microRNA (22 nucleotides) under Callithrix jacchus (white-tufted-ear marmoset). RNAcentral's name for it is "cja-miR-2114". The record is from miRBase by way of RNAcentral. Lineage: Eukaryota; Metazoa; Chordata; Mammalia; Primates; Cebidae.
UGAGCCUCAAGCAAGGGACUUC